Long non-coding RNA from Arabidopsis thaliana (thale cress), 289 nucleotides. RefSeq annotates it as other RNA. The record is from RefSeq. Lineage: Eukaryota; Viridiplantae; Streptophyta; Magnoliopsida; Brassicales; Brassicaceae. The transcript has 2 exons.
CCUAAUCUGAUUAGAAAACACAAACUGUGAAACUAUACACCAUUAAAGGAACUCCAAAUAGUUCUCUUCUGAUGCCUAACACCAAAGGAAACAUAAUCAAUAACCACAUCGAAGCAUUCUUAUUCUUAACAUCAGCCUAAUCUUAAAUCUUGAUAUAGUUCCUCCUAAUCCUCGAGUACUAGCUUAAGUUCGAAGCAAGAGGAUGACAAGUUACAAUCAAAAAGGAAACUUUUUUUCAAGUUGGGUAGAGAGAAGAAUCUCUUACUGAUCAAAGAAGGGUUAUAGCGAU